CCUACGGGUGGCAGCAGUGGGGAAUAUUGCACAAUGGGGGAAACCCUGAUGCAGCGACGCCGCGUGAGUGAAGAAGUAAUUAUUUAUUUAAAGCUCUAUCAGUAGGGAAGAAAAUGACGGUACCCGUGUAUGAAGCCCCGUCUAACUACGUUCCAGCAGCCGCGGUAAUACGUAGGGGGCAAGCGUUAUCCGGAUUUACUGGGUGUAAAGGGAGCGUAGACGGCAGUGCAAGUCUGAAGUGAAAGGCGGGGGCUCAACCCCCGGACUGCUCUGGAUACUGUACGGCUGGAGUGCAGGAGAGGUAAGUGGAAUUCCUGGUGUAGCGGUGAAAUGCGUAGAGAUGAGGAAGAACACCAGUGGCGAAGGCAGCUUACUGGGCUGUAACUGACGUUGAGGCUCGAAAGCGUGGGGAGCAAACAGGAUUAGAUACCCCAGUAGUC
This 440-nucleotide ribosomal RNA is filed under the name uncultured bacterium. RNAcentral's name for it is "partial 16S ribosomal RNA". It matches the Rfam family "Bacterial small subunit ribosomal RNA", at positions 338 to 795 of the family's 1533-position model. The record is from RNAcentral.